GUGGGCAAAAUGCUUGCUGGAUAUGUUUAAGUCUCAAUACAUGAGCACUUCUGAUGCAAUGUAGUAAAACUUGCCAGGGCUAGGAGAAGCCUAAAAAUUAGGAUCAGAAAUCGGUACAUUGCUAGAGAUCACAAUUUUCAGUAUGUUUUAUUACACGACCAAGGCAGCGUUUGCCACCGGUGCUGAAACUCAUUCCAAACCACAGCACAAGGAAAAAAAUAAGUCUUGGUUAGCAUGUUGGUGAAUCAAAAUUCGUUGCUGAUUGUUUACUACUUGGCCGUCAAAAAAA
This 289-nucleotide long non-coding RNA is filed under the name Phoenix dactylifera (date palm). RNAcentral describes it as "long non-coding RNA (PDAC_LNC017868)". The record is from RNAcentral. Lineage: Eukaryota; Viridiplantae; Streptophyta; Magnoliopsida; Arecales; Arecaceae.